RNAcentral lists this long non-coding RNA (281 nucleotides) under Coturnix japonica (Japanese quail). RNAcentral describes it as "lncRNA (ENSCJPG00005002449.1)". The record is from RNAcentral. Lineage: Eukaryota; Metazoa; Chordata; Aves; Galliformes; Phasianidae.
UCACUCCGGAUCCAUUGUAAUGAGCUGCCGUCAGUGCGCCCAUAGGGGGAACAGGGACCCCACACUAAAGGGGGGGACACAUAGGGAUGGAUGGGAUCUAUAGGGAUGGAUGGGAUCUAUAGGGGAUGGAUGGGAUCUAUAGGGGAUGGAUGGGACCCACGGCGCUGCAGGAGGGCGUUGGUGGCAACCGUAGUGCCCAUCCGGAUCCAUUGUAAUGAGCUGCCGUCCAGUGCGCCCAUAGGGGGAACAGGGACCCCACACUAAAGGGGGGGACACAUAGG